RNAcentral lists this ribosomal RNA (496 nucleotides) under uncultured bacterium. RNAcentral's name for it is "partial 16S ribosomal RNA". It matches the Rfam family "Bacterial small subunit ribosomal RNA", at positions 28 to 507 of the family's 1533-position model. The record is from RNAcentral.
GAUGAACGCUGGCGGCGUGCCUAAUACAUGCAAGUCGAGCGAACAGACGAGGAGCUUGCUCCUUUGACGUUAGCGGCGGACGGGUGAGUAACACGUAGGUAACCUACCUAUAAGACUGGGAUAACUUCGGGAAACCGGAGCUAAUACCGGAUAAUAUUUCGAACCGCAUGGUUCGAUAGUGAAAGAUGGCUUUGCUAUCACUUAUAGAUGGACCUGCGCCGUAUUAGCUAGUUGGUAAGGUAACGGCUUACCAAGGCAACGAUACGUAGCCGACCUGAGAGGGGAAUCGGCACCACUGGAACUGGAACCGGGUCCAGAUCCCUCCGGAAGGCAGCAGAGGGGAACCUUCCGCAAUGGGCGAAGGCCUAACGAAGCAACGCCGCGUGGGUAAUAAGGUUCUUCGAUCCGUAAACCCCUGUAAUUGGGAAAAAAAAAACGUGUAGUAACUGUGCACGUCUUGACGGUACCUAAUCAGAAAGCCACGGCUAACUACGUG